CACUGAGGUGCGAAAGCGUGGGUAGCAAACAGGAUUAGAUACCCUGGUAGUCCACGCCGUAAACGAUGUCGACCAGCCGUUGGGUGCCUAGCGCACUUUGUGGCGAAGUUAACGCGAUAAGUCGACCGCCUGGGGAGUACGGCCGCAAGGUUAAAACUCAAAUGAAUUGACGGGGGCCCGCACAAGCGGUGGAGCAUGUGGUUUAAUUCGAUGCAACGCGAAGAACCUUACCUACUCUUGACAUCCUGCGAACUUGUGAGAGAUCACUUGGUGCCUUCGGGAGCGCAGAGACAGGCGCUGCAUGGCUGUCGUCAGCUCGUGUUGUGAAAUGUUGGGUUAAGUCCCGUAACGAGCGCAACCCUUGUCCUUAUUUGCCAGCGGGUAAUGCCGGGAACUCUAAGGAGACUGCCGGUGACAAACCGGAGGAAGGUGGGGACGACGUCAAGUCAUCAUGGCCCUUACGAGUAGGGCUACACACGUGCUACAAUGGCCGGUACAAAGGGUUGCGAGCUCGCGAGAGUCAGCUAAUCCCGAAAAGCCGGUCUCAGUCCGGAUCGGAGUCUGCAACUCGACUCCGUGAAGUCGGAAUCGCUAGUAAUCGUGAAUCAGAAUGUCACGGUGAAUACGUUCCCGGGCCUUGCACACACCGCCCGU
RNAcentral lists this ribosomal RNA (654 nucleotides) under uncultured bacterium. RNAcentral's name for it is "bacterial SSU rRNA". It matches the Rfam family "Bacterial small subunit ribosomal RNA", at positions 744 to 1397 of the family's 1533-position model. The record is from RNAcentral.